UUCUAAUAGAUUUUAUUAUUAGUAAAAUCUGCUCAAUGAAAUUUCAAUAGCCGCAUUUAGUGCUAAGGUAGCGUAAUCAUUUGUCUUUUAAUUGAAGACUAGAAUGAAUGAUUUAACAUUUUAAUAAUUUUUUUUUAUUUUAAUCAUCAAUUUAUUUUAAAUAUAAAAAAAUAUUUAUAAAAAAGAAAGACAAUAAGACCCCUUCGAACUUAACUAUAGUUCAACUGGGGCAGUUGAUUAAUUAAAAUUUUAAUUUACUUAUUUUAAUUAAAUUACCAAGUAAAAUUUAAAUAUAUCAAGUUACCGUGGGGAUAACAGCACAAUAAAUUUUUAAAGAUCUUAUAUACAAAUUAAUUUGUGACCUCGAUGUUGAAUAUUUAACUAAUAUUCGCAAUAGAAUAUAAAGAAAGUCUGUUCGACUUUUAAUUUUUUACA
This 435-nucleotide ribosomal RNA is filed under the name cf. Zodariellum sp. Guinea Bissau MR469. RNAcentral's name for it is "partial 16S ribosomal RNA". Lineage: Eukaryota; Metazoa; Arthropoda; Arachnida; Araneae; Zodariidae. The record is from RNAcentral.